This 834-nucleotide small RNA is filed under the name Pan troglodytes (chimpanzee). RNAcentral describes it as "processed transcript". Lineage: Eukaryota; Metazoa; Chordata; Mammalia; Primates; Hominidae. The record is from RNAcentral.
GAGGCUGGAUGGUGGAGGAGUGUGGAGAGGGGCUCUGGAGGGCAAAGGGAAGAUUCCAGCAUGGGCCCAUCCCUGGGUGGUAGAAAGAGCACUGGGCCUGGAACCAGGACAGCCAGGUCUCAGCUCAGGCAUGGCGGCAUCAGAGCUGUGUGUCCCCAAGCACGGCCCCAGCCUCUCAGGGCCUGGGCUGUCUGGUCUGUAAAGGGAGUGGAGUGAAUUACUCCUGCUGGUACACAGCACAGGCACUCAGGCAUCAGAUGAACACUGGAGGCACGGGGAGGAUGUGUGGACCAUUGACUUCCUGAACGACAACAUUCGAAGAGGAAUUGAGAACUACUAUGAUGAUCUGGACUUCAAAAACAUCAUGGACUUUGUUCAGAAAAAGUUCAAGUGCUGUGGCGGGGAGGACUACCGAGAUUGGAGCAAGAACCAGUACCACGACUGCAGUGCCCCUGGACCCCUGGCCUGUGGGGUGCCCUACACCUGCUGCAUCAGGAACACGACAGAAGUUGUCAACACCAUGUGUGGCUACAAAACUAUCGACAAGGAGCGUUUCAGUGUGCAGGAUGUCAUCUACGUGCGGGGCUGCACCAACGCCGUGAUCAUCUGGUUCAUGGACAACUACACCAUCAUGGCGGGCAUCCUCCUGGGCAUCCUGCUUCCCCAGUUCCUGGGGGUGCUGCUGACGCUGCUGUACAUCACCCGGGUGGAGGACAUCAUCAUGGAGCACUCUGUCACUGAUGGGCUCCUGGGGCCCGGUGCCAAGCCCAGCGUGGAGGCGGCAGGCACGGGAUGCUGCUUGUGCUACCCCAAUUAGGGCCCAGCCUGCCAUGG